Molecule: long non-coding RNA, 1091 nt
Filed under: Homo sapiens (human)
Lineage: Eukaryota; Metazoa; Chordata; Mammalia; Primates; Hominidae
Description: HSALNT0073912
Source: RNAcentral
UGCUAGGACACCGCACAACCACCGCUGCCGGUAUUUGCCCCGGGCGCCUGGCAACUCUGACGCCCCGCUGCGCGGUCCAACCCCUUCUCCGACGCCUGGGGACGUGGACCUGGCCGAGGGAAGGGAGAGGGUACCGGUCCUUGGUGUAAUCACGUUUUACUCUGCUGGGAAGGCGUGUUCAUCUUCCCACCGAAACGCGCCAUAGACUGGAUCAGGCGUUUUUUGCUCAUCAUCGUUUCAAAAAACGUUUACUGAAGGAAAGAAAGGAAGAAGGCAGGAGGAGCGAUAAAGAGAUAGCAAGAGAAAGAGGAUGGAAAGUGGGGAAAAUGAAUAGAUUUCUAAAGGUUGGGAAAGCCUUUUAGCAGGGAGAUGUUUUCCUGGAGGUCUUGGAACUCUCUUGGUCUCACAGCCUCUGUAAACCGAGGGCUGCACACCUGUCUCUAGUCCCCAGCUGAUUUCCAGAGGCCCUUCCAGCUCCUGUGUUGAUUCUUCUGCCUCGACUCACUUCUAGCAGACAAGUACCAUCCAGCUGACCCUGGUAGGCACGUGGCCACAUAAUACGGAUUGCACGAGGUAUUUCCACUGCUAAGUAUAGGAAUCCAGAGGAAUUCUCACACACAAGGCAAGACGUAUGAGGAUGUUGCUGCAGCAUCGUUACUAGUGUUGGAAAUAAGAUGUUCCCCCUUUCUCCUUCUGAUAUGAGAAGAUACUUGUUAGCCCUCAAGCUGCUCAGAUGAGGGACUUUCCUGCCGAGAACCAACGUGAAGAGUGCAGCUUCUAUAAAGGAUUUCACUGGAUUUUUGUACUAAUGAACAAAUUUUAUUUGGAUGAGUAGAUAUUUAAUGUGCUGUUAUUACCACUGGAGUUAAAAGUAUAUUAUAAAUUCUUAUGUCUUUAAAACUAGAGAGAGGAUUCUGGGAAGAUGGCAGAGUAGAAAGCACCAGGAAUCCGACUUCCCACCUAAACAACUGUUCUAGCAGCAUCUGUCUGACACAACUAUUUUAAAACUUUGGGGUCUAUUGAAAGCUAGCAACUUCUAGGGGAAAAGUUGUACAGUAAGCUGCAGUUAAUUUCAGUGAAUUUCAGCACAG